GGGCUGGGCUCAGAGCAGUGGGCGUGCUGGUGGCUCACCUGCUGAAAGGCAGCCAACAGGAAUCAGGUCAUGGCGAGGAGGGGCAGCAAACCUGUGGCCUCCGUAGGAGCUCCUGACCUGUCGUGC
Small nucleolar RNA from Lepus europaeus (European hare), 126 nucleotides. RefSeq annotates it as small nucleolar RNA SNORA11. The record is from RefSeq and is a predicted model, not a curated record. The transcript has a single exon. Lineage: Eukaryota; Metazoa; Chordata; Mammalia; Lagomorpha; Leporidae.